GGUUAUUUAGUCUAAGUAAGGCAUCUGUUUUGAAAGCAGAUAAUAAAGGUUCAACUCUUUUAGUAACUU
RNAcentral lists this transfer RNA (69 nucleotides) under Polyphemus pediculus. RNAcentral describes it as "tRNA-Ser". It matches the Rfam family "tRNA". Rfam says of the family: Transfer RNA (tRNA) molecules are approximately 80 nucleotides in length. Lineage: Eukaryota; Metazoa; Arthropoda; Branchiopoda; Diplostraca; Polyphemidae. The record is from RNAcentral.